ACCUGGCUGGCUCAAUUGGAGGAGCAUGUGGCUCUUAAUCUCAGGGUCGUGGGUUUGAGGCCCAUGUUGGGUA
This 73-nucleotide transfer RNA is filed under the name Felis catus (domestic cat). It matches the Rfam family "tRNA". From Rfam's summary of the family: Transfer RNA (tRNA) molecules are approximately 80 nucleotides in length. Their secondary structure includes four short double-helical elements and three loops (D, anti-codon, and T loops). RNAcentral also lists the same sequence under 1 other name. The record is from Rfam by way of RNAcentral. Lineage: Eukaryota; Metazoa; Chordata; Mammalia; Carnivora; Felidae.